GCAGUGAAUUGGUGGCGGCAGGUGUAAGUAAUUGCUGAGAUUUGGGUUUGGGGAGUGGGCUCACGAGUGUUUAUGACAUUAUUAUAAAUGAAUAUAUGAGUGCAUAAAUUAGCAAAAUAAAAGGGGGCUUUUCUGGACCAAUGAUGAGACAGUGUUUAUGAACAAAAGAUCAUGAUUAAUCCAGUUCUGCACAAAACACUGAGGUCCAUUAGAAGACAAUAGGUCUUGGCUGUUUCAUUCCUUUUAAGAGCUGUUUAAUAUUCCACGGAGCCCUGGGCUCCCCCAGUGUUGCCUGGGUCUGACUUUGCCUCAGUGAAAACUGCCUCGAAUUCUUUCUUGCACCGAUGGGCAGAUGGGCAGUGUCGGAGGAUCGUGUCAUCUGUCCCGUGGCGCUGGUUGGCUUGGUCAAGUCAGUGUUCAAACUAUCUCCUGCUCUUUCAAGGGGAUCUGGGGCUCUAGAAGAUUAGAGGACUUGGAGAGGUUAGUGACUUGCUCGAGGUCGGCUAGGAAGCAAGACCCAGGAUUCCAACUCAGGUCUGUGUGAUUCCUCUGCAAAAUGGAGAGGUGGAAGGAUGGAUGUCAGGUCUGAUGGAUGGAUGGAUGCCUACAUCAAGAUACAUGCAUAGAUGGAGAGAUGGCUGGCUACCUCAUGAAUGCUGGACUGUUGUGAGAAUCAAACGAGAUAAUGUAUGCUGAGGCAUGCUGUGAACACUACGUGCUGGGUACAGGAGAAUGGAGGCUCCAGAGUGAAAUUAAUGACACUUUGUCGAUGAAGAUCUUGAUUGUGACCUCUGUGGAAAAUGAGCCAUGAACCAACCAAUAAUGAAAACCAUGUAGCUGGUCUUAUUAUUCUCUAAUCAUGAAGACCAUUAUUGUUAUUUGUGGACUAAGGAGCAGAAAGACUGAUAGUGGACAUAGGCCAGCUGAUUUAAUAAUUUAAGAAAGAACUGUUAUCCUGAGUAAGGAGCAUAGAGACAAAUAUAAAAUGAAGACCAUGGUUGAUUUAAUCAGUCUCUGCUGAUGAAGAUCUUGGCUGUUACCUUUGUGUAAUGAAUGCGCAAUGAUUCAAUUAUUCUCCAGCGAGGAAGAUCAUGGUUGUUGUCUGUUUGAGUAAUGAGUGUAGAAACCUAUAAUGGAGGCGUGAUGGCUGAUGCAAUCAUUUUCCACUGAUGAAGGUUUUGAUGGCCACCUGUAAUGAACAGCCCCAUCUGAUUUAAUCACUGUGCAAUGACCGUGAACUGUACAGUUACCUCCGUGUGUCACAGGAAGACUCUUUUGACUUAAGCACCCUUCCAUGGUCAUGAGGUUUCUGGUUGCCUCUGUGUGUUAGAAGCUUGGAGACCAAUGCCUUCUGCUGUGAUCGCGUUCUCCACAGUUGCCUCUGGGUAGGAGCCUGGACACUAAUAGAAAAUGGAUGCACUGGAGCUGAUUUAAACAUUCUUUGGUGGUCACAAGAUGUAUAGCUGCCUCUGUAUGUUUGGCGCAUGGAAAAAAAUAUGAGUUUUUGUGGACAUACACUCUUUAUUUGAAAAGUAUGAAAUAUAAUCCAAGAAAGCCAGCCAUGGCUCAGUGAUAAAUAUGGAAUUGAUAUGAAACAUUAUAUUGAUUAAUCACCUUUGAGGAUGAUUAAUAAAAGAGAGAAAGUGAUUCUAUAUAGAGAUGCAGGACUAUUUCAGGCUCAUUCAUGAUCUAGGUUUUUGUGCUUCAUGGUUAUUUUAUUAUCAUCAAUAAAAAGAAAAAAGAAAAAAAUCUUAUACUGUCCAAAAAAUUAGGGAGACCAGCGCCCAGUGUUCAUGUGAGGGGGGACUAGUGUCCAUUUCCACCAAGCAGCCUGGAAAUGCUCAUCCUCACAGGGCAUUGGAGAGGUUUCUCAAGAAGCGAGUGCCUCCAUGGGGGAAAUAAUUAACCCCAGAUUAAAUGCUGCUUCAGACCUAAUGGAUGGUAAAAACAAGAUCCAAAAGGAUCAAACUCUUUCCAGGUAGAUUAACUGUAUCCCAGAACAAAGCUCAAGGACAUUUUUAGAAAUACGUAUAUAUCCAGCACACAAGCAGGGUAAAAUUCACAUCUGCAAAUUUACCAGGCAUUCAAAGGGGCAAAAAAUACACAACCCACAAUUAAGAGACUAAUGAAUUAAUCAAAACCAACCCAGAACUUAUACAGAUGUGAGCAUUAGCAGAAAAGGACUUGAAGUAGUUAUUAGAACUGUCUCCCUGGCCGGGUGUGGUGGCUCAUGCCUGUAAUCCCAGCACUUUGGGAGGCCGAGGUGGGUGGAUCACCUCAGGUCAGGAGUUCAAGACCAGUCUGGCCAAAAUGGUGAAACCCCACCUCUACUAAACAUGGACCAAUGAUGACCACUGGUGGCGUUUGAGUCAUGGACGAUGAAUACUACGUGUCUGAAACUCUGAGGUCCAACAGAAAACAUAAUUGGAUAGAUAUCAGAAAUGUGCAAAGAUCAUAUUCUUACUUUGGAUUAAUAGAUUGAGGUUCAUCAUCAAUAGAUAAAUGAUAGAACAAUUAAACAAGAAUAAAUAAAGGUGAAUCAUUGUUCAAUUAUGAAUAUACAUGAUGAUGUAAGAAAUAUUAUCACUAAAAAUUUUAAACACAGAUGCCCCUUAAAGAAAUGGAUCAUGAGUCCCGCCACUGCACUCCAGCCUGGGCGACAGA
Molecule: long non-coding RNA, 2664 nt
Filed under: Homo sapiens (human)
Lineage: Eukaryota; Metazoa; Chordata; Mammalia; Primates; Hominidae
Description: HSALNT0379230
Rfam family: Small nucleolar RNA SNORD112 (bases 134-210)
Source: RNAcentral